GAUGAACGCUGACAGAAUGCUUAACACAUGCAAGUCUUUGGCGAAGCUGUGCUUGCACAGCCUAGCCAAGGCGGACGGGUGAGUAACGCGUAAGGAACUUGCCCUGCAGUCAGGGAUAACAGACGGAAACGACUGAUAAGACCUGGUAAAGUCAGGCGGACUCAUGUCCAGCCUGAUGAAAAGAGAUGCUGCAGGAGAGCCUUGCGUCCUAUUAGCUUGUUGGUGGGGUAACGGCCCACCAAGGCGAUGAUAGGUAGCCGGCCUGAGAGGGUGGACGGCCACAAGGGGACUGAGAUACGGCCCGUACUCCUACGGGAGGCAGCAGUGGGGAAUAUUGGACAAUGGGGGCAACCCUGAUCCAGCAAUUCUGUGGGCACGAUGAAGGUUUUCGGAUUGUAAAGUGCUUGCAGCAGGGAAGAAAAAAUGACGGUACCUGCAGAAGAAGCGACGGCUAAAUACGUG
RNAcentral lists this ribosomal RNA (462 nucleotides) under uncultured bacterium. Its description in RNAcentral is "partial 16S ribosomal RNA". It matches the Rfam family "Bacterial small subunit ribosomal RNA", at positions 28 to 507 of the family's 1533-position model. The record is from RNAcentral.